AGUGAACGCUGGCGGUAGGCCUAACACAUGCAAGUCGAACGACCGCACAGUAAGCGUUUGCCCUUACGGUUGGCGACUGGCGGGUGGGUAAGGCAUACAUAGGAAUCUACUUUUUCGUGGGGGAUAACGUAGGAACACUUACGCUAAUACCGCAUAUGACCUACGGGAGAAAGCAGUGGAUCUUCGGGGCUUGCGCGUCAGAUUGAGCUGAUGCCGGAUUAGCUAGUUGGUGGGGUAAAGGCACACCAAGGCAACGAUCCGUAGCUGGCCUGAGAGGAUGAUCGGCCACACUGGAACUGAGACACGGUCCAGACUCCUACGGGAGGCAGCAGUAGGGAAUAUUGCGCAAUGGGCGAAAGCCUGACGGAGCCAUGCCGCGUGAGUGAUGAAGGCCUUCGGAUUGUAAAGCUCUUUUAUUAGGAAAGAAAAACUGUGGAUGAAAACCCGCCUGUCUUGACGGUACCUAAUGAGAAAGCCCCGGCUAACUACGUG
RNAcentral lists this ribosomal RNA (492 nucleotides) under uncultured bacterium. RNAcentral describes it as "partial 16S ribosomal RNA". It matches the Rfam family "Bacterial small subunit ribosomal RNA", at positions 29 to 507 of the family's 1533-position model. The record is from RNAcentral.